AACUUAAGCAUAUCAAUAAGCGGAGGAAAAGAAACCAACAGGGAUUGCCCUAGUAACGGCGAGUGAAGCGGCAACAGCUCAAAUUUGAAAUCUGGCCCAAGGCCCGAGUUGUAAUUUGCAGAGGAUGCUUUUGGUGAGGCGCUUACCGAGUCCCCUGGAAUGGGGCGCCACAGAGGGUGAGAGCCCCGUAUGGUUUGCCGCCGAGCCUCUGUAAAGCUCCUUCGACGAGUCGAGUAGUUUGGGAAUGCUGCUCUAAAUGGGAGGUAAAUUUCUUCUAAAGCUAAAUACCGGCCAGAGACCGAUAGCGCACAAGUAGAGUGAUCGAAAGAUGAAAAGCACUUUGAAAAGAGGGUUAAAUAGCACGUGAAAUUGUUGAAAGGGAAGCGCUCGUGACCAGACUUGCGCCGGGCGGAUCAAUUCAGCCUUCGGGCUGGGUGCGCUCUGCCCGGCUCAGGCCAGCAUCGGUUUUCGCCGGGGGAUAAAAGCUUCGGGAACGUAGCUCCCUACGGGGAGUGUUAUAGCCCGUUGCAUAAUACCCCGGCGGGGACCGAGGACCGCGCUUCGGCAAGGAUGCUGGCGUAAUGGUCAUCAGCGACCCGUCUUGAAACACGGACCGAGGAGUCAAGCAUUAGUGCGAGUGUUUGGGUGUAAAACCCGCACGCGUAAUGAAAGUGAACGUAGGUGAGAGCUUCGGCGCAUCAUCGACCGAUCCUGAUGUUUUCGGAUGGAUUUGAGUAGGAGCAUUAACGCUUGGACCCGAAAGAUGGUGAACUAUACUUGAAUAGGGUGAAGCCAGAGGAAACUCUGGUGGAGGCUCGCAGCGGUUCUGACGUGCAAAUCGAUCGUCAAAUUUGAGUAUAGGGGCGAAAGACUAAUCGAACCAUCUAGUAGCUGGUUACCGCCGAAGUUUCCCUCAGGAUAGCAGUGUCGUCUUCAGUUUUAUGAGGUAAAGCGAAUGAUUAGGGACUCGGGGGCGAUUUUUAGCCUUCAUCCAUUCUCAAACUUUAAAUAUGUAAGAAGCCCUUGUUACUUAAUUGAACGUGGGCCUUCGAAUGUACCGACACUAGUGGGCCAUUUUUGGUAAGCAGAACUGGCGAUGCGGGAUGAACCGAACGCGGGGUUAAGGUGCCGGAGUGGACGCUCAUCAGACACCACAAAAGGCGUUAGUACAUCUUGACAGCAGGACGGUGGCCAUGGAAGUCGGAAUCCGCUAAGGACUGUGUAACAACUCACCUGCCGAAUGUACUAGCCCUGAAAAUGGAUGGCGCUCAAGCGUCCCACCCAUACCCCGCCCCUGGGGUAGAAACGAUGCCCCAGGGAGUAGGCGGCCGUGGAGAUAGCGACGAAGGCUAGGGCGUGAGCCCGGCUAGAGCUGUCUC
This 1379-nucleotide ribosomal RNA is filed under the name Kohlmeyeriopsis medullaris. RNAcentral's name for it is "eukaryotic LSU rRNA". It matches the Rfam family "Eukaryotic large subunit ribosomal RNA", at positions 31 to 1439 of the family's 3401-position model. The record is from RNAcentral. Lineage: Eukaryota; Fungi; Ascomycota; Sordariomycetes; Magnaporthales; Magnaporthaceae.